Molecule: long non-coding RNA, 1782 nt
Filed under: Fukomys damarensis (Damara mole-rat)
Lineage: Eukaryota; Metazoa; Chordata; Mammalia; Rodentia; Bathyergidae
Description: lncRNA (ENSFDAG00000028492.1)
Source: RNAcentral
AGACUGGUAUCACUGGGGACUACGACUCUGGGAGCAAAGAAGGGAGCAAGACACAGCUGAGAGGAGGUGAGGAGGCCUGGACAUGGAAAGACCUGCACGUGGGAGAGGGAGGCCUGCAGGAGACAGCGUGUCGGAUGCAGGAAAGCAGGCAGGAAAGAGAGUCAUCACCAAGCUGAGGAGCCACCGUCCACCCUCCCGAUUCUCCCUUUUCCUUGGGAUGGCGCUGAGAGGGGCCAGGAAACCAACGAAGGAGCGACCGAGUUACAAACUGUACCUCUCAGCUGUGCUGGUCACUGACGCUGGAGGAACAGCACCCAGAGCAGGAAGUUUGCCAGUCACUCUGUGGCCCUCACUCUCUUGUAGGAGAGCAACUGCACACCCCCAGCCAUCGUCUGGCUCUGCCAGCGGCCCAAGGCCCGCACUGGGCAUGGAUGGAGAGGGUGGGCAGGAGCAGGAGGAGGAGGAACCUGCUGCAGGUUCUGUCCAUUCUUGAUCCGUUGAGCUCUGCUCACUCAGGCCUGGCAUCCUGGGCAUCUCUGUCACCUGAUCUCUUCAGCAGCCCUGGCAACUCCAGGUGCUCUUCCGGCUCACCAGAGUACCCCAGAAGAGGGAAGUGGUUAUUUCGCACAUUGCAAAUGGCCUAUGAAGUAGCCUUUCUCCCGGGAGCUAAUGCUACAUCUUUCCCUAAAAAGCUAAAACACAGACACAGUUAUCUAAAUCUGAAGGGCCUUUCUGCAAAUGGGAGGAGAUGGGGGAGAAAGGACGAUGGGGACAAGAAAAAAAAGUGAAAAUAGAUGGAAAAAAUGGAACCAAAACUUUUGUACAUAGGGAGAGGAGGGGUGAAUGGAAUAAAAUAAAAUUUAUUUGAAAAUACUGACAAUCAAAAAUAAAUAAAUAAAGAGCCUUUCUGAGGCCUAAGCAAGAGGCCUUGACAAUUUGCAACUUUAAUGGACAACUUUAGUUACACGAGGUGUUCCUGGAAGAUUCACAAGGGACAGGAUGUCCUGGGAAAUGCGUUUCUAAGAGAUCUUCACUCGCCAACUCAGCCCCUUUCCCACAUCUCCCUUCCCUUACAGAAGCCCCAGUCUCACCGGAUCACAUGAUUCCUUGGUCAGAACGUUGCCCUGUGCCCCCGUUGACAGUGAUUCAGUGAUCUAAAUAAACUCUUUCCUGGCUGGGGAUGUAGCUCAGCUGCACUACACCUGCCUGGCAAGCGCAAGGUGCUGAGUUUAAUCCCUGGUACCGGAAAAAGUAAAAAACAAAAAUAACCCUCUUUGCUAUAUAUUCCUCGAUAAACUCUUCGACUGCUCACAUCCCUGGCCCGCUGCGCAUCAUCUGCCGUGGCAAUCAGGUGAACACAAACGCUCUGACAAGCUUUCCUCAAGCAGAAGCAAGGAAUUAAAAAUAUCCAGAAUUUCGGGCUGUGGUCAUACAAGCCUGAGACACCACCGCUUGUGAAGAAAACCGCCCCCCUCCCUAGGUGGCUUCCCCCCAAUUCUCCUGAGAGCCAUGAGGGGGCGCAGCUGGGUCGUGUUUGCUUGUGUGAGGACUGGUGCUGCGAACUAGAUGUGAUUUGUGUCAGGAAGAGAAGGGGGUGUCACUCUAGAAUAAGCUUUGUUGAAUAUUGAGUUAAAGAAGUUUUGUUUCUCAGGGUUGUACUGAGCCCUGCAGGCUGUUUAGGAGCGUCCUUUGCCUCUCCCACCAGAUGCUGGCCAUCAGUGGGCCGGUGAAAACGUACCUAUUGUAACUAUCCCCCCGCCACCGCAGUGGUAGAGAACGACC